AUAUAUAUAUAUAUAUAUAUAUAUAUAUUUAUAUUUAUUUACGGAAGGUGGAAAGACAGUGGAAGAUUCAUAAGGGAUGAGAGAGAGGAUACUGGAAGACCGACACUGGUAGGUGAAAAUUGAAAGUGAGAGGGGCUGGUUGUUGGAGGGGAGAGAGGAAAGGAAGUUGAAAAAAUCUACUUGCACCCGGGGUUGGGGAACCCCCGCGUACCGUCCCUCCAGGUGAACAAUAACGAAGCGGUGUGUUUUAAAUUUGAACGUAUUUAUGCGACAACCAGAAAAUCUCCCCAUUUCCGCGAAACCCACGGACGAAACACAAUGACGACCAGGAAACCUCCCCAGAAUGACGACGACGACCGGCUCAGACGAAAGCUACCCAAAACGAGGACCAUCGACCUCGAGGGACGGCACUCUCUGAAGACAUUUAUUCUCCCAAGACAUUCUCCCAAGACUGGGCUUAAGAUCAUGAGGGUAAUUCUCCCCAGACACUUGUUCAAGGAAGCGUUGCCAUGCUUCAUGAGGGUCAUGAUUUGUUCUGUUUUUUUAAUGAACUCAGAGUAACUCAUUAUUGGUGUCUAAAGCUUGAUUAAUUUCUCAGACAGCAAAGUAACAUGAAACAGAACCAAAAUAUGGGUUCGACUGCUAAUGGAGAUCGCAUUAGGUCUUUGAUAAAACUUACGAUAUCCCAUGAACUGUCAAUGCUGCCCAAGCCUUCCAUCUUCAGAGUCCCGACCAAUCUCUACAGGCUUAAUCCAAAAGCUUACAUCCUAAAUGCAUUUUCCUUUGGCCUCUUCAUCAUGAAAAACCAAACUUGAAACCUGCAGAAAAAAUCAAAGCUCGGUAUUUGCGAGGCCUUAUCUCUAGGUCACCCUCUCCGGACACAAAGCUACGAGAACUCGUCAGAUCCAUCAAGGUUGUGGAGAGAGAAGCUCGUCAAUGUUACGCAGGGAAGAUCGAUUACACCCCAGAUGAAUUUAUUCAAAUUUUGGUAAUUGACGGUUGCUUCAUCAUUAAGCUGCUCCGCAAGAAUGCUUAUACUGAGCUUAGAGAGAAGAUAAUUUCUUACCAUGUCUUGCAUGCUCCAAUUCCUCAACCAUGACCUGAUAUUGCCUGAAAACCAAGUUCCUUGGAUGGUGCUUGAGCGUUUGUUUUGCAUGACCAUGGAACUUAGAGACCAAAAGUCCCUAAUGCAACUUGCCAAAGAAUUUUUUGCUAAUAUCUUCUCAUCCUUACAGCCUAGAAGUCGGCCUGCUGCGGAUCGAGCUAUAAUCCAAGACAGAGCAUAUUCUCGACCUGAUACACAGUGCUCAUAACCACAACGACGACCACCGGCCUUGAGCGGCGGCACUCUCUCUCUCAGAAAAAUUCUUUGACGGCACUCACCCACAACGGCACUCUCUAUUUUUCUGGUUGGGGUUUCAUUUGUCUAUUCGAUUUUCGGUUUUUGCCCUUUUUGUUUUUUCUUUUUCUUUUUAAAUAUAUCGGCUGUCAGCCGAUUCCCCAAAGGUAUCCAACCCGGUUACCUGUAGCAGAAUUGAAGAAAGUUGAGCAAACAUUCGCAGCCAGAGGCUUGGGCGUGGCAUUACACGUGGUAUGCACUUGUUCGCAUGUGGAUGUUUCACUUCACUCGUCCUCGAUCCGCGCUGUCUGUACCCUUUCGGUCCACGACACCGAAUCACCCAAUCACACGGUGUCUCCUUUUUUUCAAAUUAAUUAAUUAAAAAUUUUCGAUCAGUCA
Long non-coding RNA from Carya illinoinensis, 1738 nucleotides. RefSeq lists it as uncharacterized. The record is from RefSeq and is a predicted model, not a curated record. Lineage: Eukaryota; Viridiplantae; Streptophyta; Magnoliopsida; Fagales; Juglandaceae. The transcript has 2 exons.